Molecule: RNA transcript, 2098 nt
Organism: Prosopis cineraria
Lineage: Eukaryota; Viridiplantae; Streptophyta; Magnoliopsida; Fabales; Fabaceae
Exons: 18
Source: RefSeq, a predicted model, not a curated record
CGCAAAUCCCAGGAGCCUAUUAUCUCCGGCGUGACACGUAGCAUACCUAUUGCCACGCACGCCGGUGCGUUUCGGCGUCUUCAUCAUUCCUUUCAGUCACGUCUGCUCCCGAGUCGAGAGAGCGGGCGAGACAUAGCAAAGCAAAAUGCACGAAGAGUUUUCAAUGGAGGAUCCAACUCAGCUACUUGAAACAGCUUCAGAUUUUGCUAAUUAUCCGGGAGUACUUAACGACGCCGCCGUAAGGGACUUUCUCAAUCGCUUCCCUCUUCCAGCAAUAAUUAAUGCAUUACAAACCAAAUUGGAUGUACCUGGCCUAGAAAAUACUCUAACUGCUUGUUUGGAGAGGCUAUUCAAAACAAAAUUUGGCGCUUCUUUGAUUCCACAGUAUAUGCCUUUUGUACAAGUUGGUUUGCAGGCAGAUUCUCAGGCAGUCAGAUCCUUAGCUUGUAAAACAGUCACUUGCCUUCUGGAGGAACUUGACUGUGAUACUGAUGUUGCUGCUCGUCUAAUUGCAGAAUACAACAUAUAUCCUCUCUUGCUUGAUUGCCUUGUGAAUGGCAAUGAACAAGUGGCAGCUGCAGCAAUGGAUGUGAUAAAGAAGUUAGCUCAUUCUCCUGAGGGCAGGGAAAUCAUCUUUCCAUCUGCCAGGGAAGGUGCUGCAGACCUGAGGACUUUAGCAUCGCAGUGUUCAUCACUGGGACGGGUUCGUGUAAUGGCCUUAGUGGUGAAACUUUUCUCUGUAUCUAAGUCUGCAGCAUCAACCAUAUACAGUUUAAAUCUUCUUAAUUUUUUGGAGGCAGAAAUCGCAAAUGCAGAUGAUACUCUUGUAACUUUAAGUGUUUUGGAGCUUCUAUACGAGUUAGCAGAGAUCGAGCAUAGUACUGAAUUCUUCUCAAAGACUAACCUCCUUCAACUUCUUAGUUCUAUAAUUAGCAACAAUUCUGUGGAGGCCAUUUUAAAAUCUAGAGCAAUGAUGAUAAUCGGAAGGCUUCUGUCCAAGGAAAUUAUAUACACCUUCAUAGAUGAAUCAUGUCUUAAAACUGUUAUUUCUUCAAUUGAUGGAAGACUCAAGUCCUUAGAAAGUUCUGAUAGGGAUGAAUGUGAAACUGCGCUUGAAGCAUUGGGUCAUAUAGGACUGUCUAUCCCUGGAGCUGCAUUGCUGCUCUCAGGCACAUCACCUGUUGCAAGACAUGUUAUUUAUGCUGCUUUUGAUCAACAAGGACCACAAGGGCAUGGUAAACAGCUGGCUGCUUUGCAUGCUCUGGGAAACAUCUCUGGAGAAACUCGAUCUGAAAAUGAUAAAAUACUCAAUUCUGAAGCAGAAGAAAAUGUGCGACGUUUAAUUUAUGAAGUUGGAUCCAGGAACUCAAAGUUGACACCAUCGGGUCUUUUCUUAUCAGUUCUGCGGCAGGACUCAGAAAUCCGAUUGGCGGGUUAUAGGAUGAUAAGUGGAUUAGUUGCUCGAUCAUGGUGCUUGAUGGAGAUCUGCUCAAAACAAGAGAUAAUAAACAUGGUGACUGACCCAAGUAGUGAAACCACAAAAAUAGGCAUGGAAGCUAGAUAUAACUGCUGCAAGGCUAUACACAAGUCACUGAUGCAGUCAAGUAAACUCUCUGUUGAUCCUGCUCUAGCAGCAAUAGAUGCAAAGCUGCAGGAAGCUAUUGAAAUGGGUCCAUAUCUUGUUAGAAAGCAUGUGGAAGCUCAACCUAUUGUGAUGACGGCUGAGCGAUUCUAGUUUGUGCAGAUGGUGUGGUCAAUGCGCGUGUUGCCUGUGGCAAAUAUGCAAAUGCGUGCCCGGCUAGCUGCUGAACUGUCACCCUGGAUCACGUACCUGGAGAAAGGAGAGUUUAUCUUAAGAUUUCGUAAAAAUUUAAAUUUAAAUCAUUUAGAUGAAAAGGCCAAAUUGAAAAUGUACUUGUUUGCAUAGGCUGGGAGGCGCAUUCGGUCGUGCUCAUUUCCUCUUACUCAUGUCUUGAUUUUAAUUUGUUUUUUAAAUAUUUUUUAUAUUAUAUUGAAACCAAAAUAUAUAAAAUUAUAAAAAAAUGAAUAUUAAAUUUGGAUUGUCUAAAAUUUAUUUAAAUGAUUAAUUUGUAAAAAU